Molecule: ribosomal RNA, 397 nt
Filed under: uncultured bacterium
Lineage: Bacteria
Description: partial 16S ribosomal RNA
Rfam family: Bacterial small subunit ribosomal RNA
Source: RNAcentral
AUACGUAGGGGGCGAGCGUUGUCCGGAAUGAUUGGGCGUAAAGGGCGCGUAGGCGGCCCGGUAAGUCUGGAGUGAAAGUCCUGUUUUUAAGAUGGGAAUUGCUUUGGAUACUGAUGGGCUUGAGUGCAGGAGAGGUUAUCGGAAUUCCCGGUGUAGCGGUGAAAUGCGUAGAGAUCGGGAGGAACACCAGUGGCGAAGGCGGGUAACUGGACUGCAACUGACGCUGAGGCGCGAAAGUGUGAUGAGCAAACAGGAUUAGAUACCCUGGUAGUACACAUUGUAAACGAUGAAUACUAGGUGUAAGAGGUAUCGACCUCUUUUGUGCCGGAGUUAACACAAUAAGCAUUCCGCCUGGGGAGUACGGCCGCAAGGUUGAAACUCAAAGGAAUUGGCGGGG